UACGUAGGGUGCAAGCGUUGUCCGGAUUUAUUGGGCGUAAAGAGCUCGUAGGCGGCUUGUUGCGUCGACCGUGAAAACCCGGGGCUCAACUUCGGGCUUGCGGUCGAUACGGGCGGGCUAGAGUUCGGUGGGGGAGACUGGAAUUCCUGGUGUAGCGGUGAAAUGCGCAGAUAUCAGGAGGAACACCGGUGGCGAAGGCGGGUCUCUGGGCCGAUACUGACGCUGAGGAGCGAAAGCGUGGGGAGCGAACAGG
RNAcentral lists this ribosomal RNA (253 nucleotides) under uncultured bacterium. RNAcentral's name for it is "partial 16S ribosomal RNA". It matches the Rfam family "Bacterial small subunit ribosomal RNA", at positions 524 to 776 of the family's 1533-position model. The record is from RNAcentral.